UACGGGGGGGGGCAAGCGUUGUUCGGAAUUACUGGGCGUAAAGGGCUCGUAGGCGGCCAACUAAGUCAGACGUGAAAUCCCCAGGCUCAACCUGGGAACUGCGUCUGAUACUGGAUGGCUUGAAUUCGGGAGAGGGAUGCAGAAUUCCAGGUGUAGCGGUGAAAUGCGUAGAUAUCUGGAGGAACACCGGUGGCGAAGGCGGCAUUCUGGACCGAAACUGACGCUGAGGCGCGAAAGCCAGGGGAGCAAACGGG
Molecule: ribosomal RNA, 254 nt
Filed under: uncultured bacterium
Lineage: Bacteria
Description: partial 16S ribosomal RNA
Rfam family: Bacterial small subunit ribosomal RNA
Source: RNAcentral